This 116-nucleotide ribosomal RNA is filed under the name Danio rerio (zebrafish). The record is from RNAcentral. Lineage: Eukaryota; Metazoa; Chordata; Actinopteri; Cypriniformes; Danionidae.
GCCGCCAACUAGCUCUCUGCAACUCUUAAAUUGUCGCCCACUAAAGCUAAGCUAGGUGUGCGCCCGGCCAGUACCUGGAUGGUAGAUCACAUGGGAAUGCCAGGUUGCUGCUGGAA